UGCGCAGGCGGGAAAUUAAGUCAGUGGUGAAAGCCCCGAGCUCAACUUGGGAACUGCCAUUGAUACUGAUUUUCUUGAAUGUAGUUGAGGCUGGCGGAAUACAACAUGUAGCGGUGAAAUGCAUAGAUAUGUUGUAGAACACCAAUUGCGAAGGCAGCUAGCUAAACUAUUAUUGACGCUGAGGCACGAAAGCGUGGGGAGCGAACAGGAUUAGAUACCCUGGUAGUCC
Molecule: ribosomal RNA, 229 nt
Filed under: uncultured bacterium
Lineage: Bacteria
Description: partial 16S ribosomal RNA
Rfam family: Bacterial small subunit ribosomal RNA
Source: RNAcentral